This 257-nucleotide ribosomal RNA is filed under the name uncultured bacterium. RNAcentral describes it as "partial 16S ribosomal RNA". It matches the Rfam family "Bacterial small subunit ribosomal RNA", at positions 524 to 777 of the family's 1533-position model. The record is from RNAcentral.
GACAGAGGUGCCGAGCGUUAGGCGGAAUCACUGGGCUUAAAGCGUGUGUAGGCGGAUCCGUAAGUACCUUGUGAAAUCCCACGGCUCAACCUGGAAACUGCUUGGGCAUACUGGCGAUCUUGAGCCUCUAGGGGCGACUGGAACAACGGUGGAGCGGUGAAAUGCGUAGAUAUCGUUUGGAACGCCAAUGGUGAAAAACAGGUCGCUGGGGGACGCGCUGACGCUGAGACACGAAAAGCCCAGGGGAGCAAAACGGG